AGUGCUCCUGAGCUUCUUGUUUGAGCUCGCUUCUUCCCUGUGAAGUGCACUUUCAUUUAAAAUAAAUCUGUGCUUUGGCUUGCCUUGCUUGUGUGCUUUGUUCAAUUCUUUGUUCUAAAUGCCAAGAACCUGGACAACUACCCUCAACCAGUAACAUGUUUUGGCAAGCCAGCCAGGAGAGGCUGUUGUGAUAUCCUGCAUGGACAAGGAAAUGAUGUUCAUCUAAUACACCCACUUGGGAACACUUUGAUGCCAUUGGCUAUGAUUGUCUUUCUGUUUUCCCUACCCCCAUCUCUAGCCCUGUCCCAGUAUGAGAACAUGGAAACUCAUUUUGGAAAAUGUGAAAUGAGUGAUCCCCAAAAGUAGCCUUGCUCAUGACUGGGUGAUUAUAUUAAGGGUGAUUUUUUUUCUUCAUUGUAUUUAGCUGUUUUCCAUUGGGUUUUUUGGCAACAAAUAUAAAAAGUUAGAGUUUUCUUAUUUUUAAAAGACAUGUUGCCUCAUAGAAGUAGAUAAUAUCAGAAAAUGACUUUUUUUGUGUCCAGUGGCUCCAUCUGCCCCUA
RNAcentral lists this non-coding RNA (560 nucleotides) under Pan troglodytes (chimpanzee). Lineage: Eukaryota; Metazoa; Chordata; Mammalia; Primates; Hominidae. The record is from RNAcentral.